AGAGUUUGAUCCUGGCUCAGGAUGAACGCUGGCGGCGUGCCUAAUACAUGCAAGUCGAGCGAACGGACGAGAAGCUUGCUUCUCUGAUGUUAGCGGCGGACGGGUGAGUAACACGUGGAUAACCUACCUAUAAGACUGGGAUAACUUCGGGAAACCGGAGCUAAUACCGGAUAAUAUUUUGAACCGCAUGGUUCAAAAGUGAAAGACGGUCUUGCUGUCACUUAUAGAUGGAUCCGCGCUGCAUUAGCUAGUUGGUAAGGUAACGGCUUACCAAGGCAACGAUGCAUAGCCGACCUGAGAGGGUGAUCGGCCACACUGGAACUGAGACACGGUCCAGACUCCUACGGGAGGCAGCAGUAGGGAAUCUUCCGCAAUGGGCGAAAGCCUGACGGAGCAACGCCGCGUGAGUGAUGAAGGUCUUCGGAUCGUAAAACUCUGUUAUUAGGGAAGAACAUAUGUGUAAGUAACUGUGCACAUCUUGACGGUACCUAAUCAGAAAGCCACGGCUAACUACGUGCCAGCAGCCGCGGUAAUACGUAGGUGGCAAGCGUUAUCCGGAAUUAUUGGGCGUAAAGCGCGCGUAGGCGGUUUUUUAAGUCUGAUGUGAAAGCCCACGGCUCAACCGUGGAGGGUCAUUGGAAACUGGAAAACUUGAGUGCAGAAGAGGAAAGUGGAAUUCCAUGUGUAGCGGUGAAAUGCGCAGAGAUAUGGAGGAACACCAGUGGCGAAGGCGACUUUCUGGUCUGUAACUGACGCUGAUGUGCGAAAGCGUGGGGAUCAAACAGGAUUAGAUACCCUGGUAGUCCACGCCGUAAACGAUGAGUGCUAAGUGUUAGGGGGUUUCCGCCCCUUAGUGCUGCAGCUAACGCAUUAAGCACUCCGCCUGGGGAGUACGACCGCAAGGUUGAAACUCAAAGGAAUUGACGGGGACCCGCACAAGCGGUGGAGCAUGUGGUUUAAUUCGAAGCAACGCGAAGAACCUUACCAAAUCUUGACAUCCUUUGACAACUCUAGAGAUAGAGCCUUCCCCUUCGGGGGACAAAGUGACAGGUGGUGCAUGGUUGUCGUCAGCUCGUGUCGUGAGAUGUUGGGUUAAGUCCCGCAACGAGCGCAACCCUUAAGCUUAGUUGCCAUCAUUAAGUUGGGCACUCUAAGUUGACUGCCGGUGACAAACCGGAGGAAGGUGGGGAUGACGUCAAAUCAUCAUGCCCCUUAUGAUUUGGGCUACACACGUGCUACAAUGGACAAUACAAAGGGCAGCGAAACCGCGAGGUCAAGCAAAUCCCAUAAAGUUGUUCUCAGUUCGGAUUGUAGUCUGCAACUCGACUACAUGAAGCUGGAAUCGCUAGUAAUCGUAGAUCAGCAUGCUACGGUGAAUACGUUCCCGGGUCUUGUACACACCGCCCGUCACACCACGAGAGUUUGUAACACCCGAAGCCGGUGGAGUAACCUUUUAGGAGCUAGCCAUCGAAGGUGGGACAAAUGAUUGGGGUGAAGUCGUAACAAGGUAGCCGUAUCGGAAGGUGCGGCUGGAUCACCU
Molecule: ribosomal RNA, 1540 nt
Filed under: Staphylococcus aureus C1894
Lineage: Bacteria; Bacillati; Bacillota; Bacilli; Caryophanales; Staphylococcaceae
Description: 16S ribosomal RNA
Rfam family: Bacterial small subunit ribosomal RNA
Source: RNAcentral